AAUCCGUUGAAUGAAGAAGUCUUUUUGGCUCAAGCAGCUAGCGGACCUCCUUAAUUGAGAAAGUCAGCACGCCCCCUACCUAUGUAGUCGGCUUCCCGCUUUCAAUUGGAAGGGAUUCUGUUUCCGGUUAGGUUAACCUCUCAAUUUCAAUAGGGUAAGCUACUAGCUCUAACCGAACUUUCGGGUAUAUAUAAGUCCGACGAAAGACAACCCGCUUCUCAAAGGCGAGGAAGAACCGGCUUCAAGCAAUCGGUGUAAUGUAAU
Molecule: unclassified non-coding RNA, 264 nt
Filed under: Hevea brasiliensis (rubber tree)
Lineage: Eukaryota; Viridiplantae; Streptophyta; Magnoliopsida; Malpighiales; Euphorbiaceae
Source: RNAcentral